This is a long non-coding RNA of Aphidius gifuensis, 389 nucleotides long. RefSeq lists it as uncharacterized. The record is from RefSeq and is a predicted model, not a curated record. NCBI's taxonomy places the organism in Eukaryota, Metazoa, Arthropoda, Insecta, Hymenoptera, Braconidae. The transcript has 3 exons.
UCAAUAUUAUUUAAAGAAGCAAAAAUUAUUUGAUGAUGAUGAAAACGAGAAAGAAAAUGACAUUUCUCAGGUUGAUUUAAAGAACAGUGAAAAACCAGCAGAUAGAAAAGGCAAAAAAUUGAUUUUACAAAAGCACAAUAAUAUAUCUAAUGGUCCACAUCGCAAAAGAAAAUAUACUGAAACGAUAUUAGACUCAGAUGAGGAGGUAAAAAGCUUGAAGGAAGCUAGUGAUGAAGAUAAUGACUUGAAGGAAGCUAGUGAUGAAGAUAAUGACCUCAAUGAUAACAAAUCUCCUGAGCCAACUAAUCCCACACUGCUAGAUAUUUUAAACGCAAUAAAAGAACGAGACCAAAAAAUUGAGAAGUUGACCAAAGACAUUGAAACUUUAA